GAAAGCAUCAAACAAGCACACACACACCCAAGCUCUCACUAUCAAUAUGUUGUAUGUAGUAUUGCAGAGACCAUUAGCAGGUAUAUUAAUAACUGACUUCUACGUUCUCAAUCUACGAACUAUCUUUGCCCAGAGAUUCGUUCAGCAAAGAUGAAACUAGUCGGAACAUUAGUGUACAUAGUACUCGGAUUUCUGUUAAUAAGCAGCACCAUCCUUGCAGAGCAGAACACCUUCAGGGGAGAUGAUCACAGUUCACGAUAUCUUGGUAGAUCCAAGACAAGAGAAAGAGAGCUAGAGAAGAGAAAAAUUAACGAAGGUCUUUAUUCUGAGAGCAGAGAAUUGCAUACUAGAGUUUAAUUAUUUUGUAUUUGCCUAAUUUGCUACGAAAUUUAAAAAAUAUAUAUUAGAAGGUUUUAAUUGUAA
This is a long non-coding RNA of Biomphalaria glabrata, 423 nucleotides long. RefSeq lists it as uncharacterized. The transcript has 3 exons. Lineage: Eukaryota; Metazoa; Mollusca; Gastropoda; Planorbidae. The record is from RefSeq and is a predicted model, not a curated record.